This 612-nucleotide ribosomal RNA is filed under the name uncultured bacterium. RNAcentral describes it as "bacterial SSU rRNA". It matches the Rfam family "Bacterial small subunit ribosomal RNA", at positions 28 to 691 of the family's 1533-position model. The record is from RNAcentral.
GGCGAAGCUGGCGGAGGCCUACACAUGCAGUCGACGCCGUAGCAUACGGAGUGGCAGACGGGUGAGGAACACGUGGGAACAUACCCUUUGGUUCGGAAUAACUCAGGGAAACUUGAGCUAAUACCGGAUAAGCCCUUUUGGGGAAAGAUUUAUCGCCGAAGGAUUGGCCCGCGUCCGAUUAGCUAGUUGGUGAGGUAAUGGCUCACCAAGGCGACGAUCGGUAGCUGGUCUGAGAGGAUGAUCAGCCACAUUGGGACUGAGACACGGCCCAAACUCCUACGGGAGGCAGCAGUGGGGAAUAUUGGACAAUGGGCGCAAGCCUGAUCCAGCCAUGCCGCGUGAGUGAUGACGGCCUUAGGGUUGUAAAGCUCUUUCACCCACGACGAUAAUGACGGUAGUGGGAGAAGAAGCCCCGGCUAACUUCGUGCCAGCAGCCGCGGUAAUACGAAGGGGGCUAGCGUUGUUCGGAUUUACUGGGCGUAAAGCGCACGUAGGCGGAUCUUUAAGUCACGGGUGAAAUGCCGGAGCUCAACUUCGGAACUGCCUUUGAUACUGGAGAUCUUGAGUUCGAGAGAGGUGAGUGGAACUGCGAGUGUAGAGGUGAAACUUCGU